Long non-coding RNA from Folsomia candida, 599 nucleotides. RefSeq lists it as uncharacterized. The record is from RefSeq and is a predicted model, not a curated record. Lineage: Eukaryota; Metazoa; Arthropoda; Collembola; Entomobryomorpha; Isotomidae. The transcript has 3 exons.
UGAUCUGAGUAAGUUUUCAAAAAUUUGUGAGCUAAUUUUCCUUAGAAAUAUUUGUAAGAUUUUGCAAAACGUUUGUAAGAGUAUACGGAUUUUACAAAGUCUCAAAGGACUGAAGUGCCUCAUUGUAUUUGUGUAAAAGGUCGAUAUACUCGGCCACCUAGCAACGGUUGUGGGCCAACCAAGCAAUGAUGAUUGGUACGACGGGGCCCUUUCUUUUGUCCAAUAUUUCAUUGCAAUUGCGAUCUUGCUGAUUGCCGCAGAAGCUAAUAGUAAAGCCGUCAUGUUGGAAAAGUCGGUCGUAUUUUCGUGCCUCUCACAGGAAUCAGAUAGGCCAGGGGUCAAUCGGAUUAAAAAUUGUAAUGAGAACUACUGGGUGAACCAAGUCAUCGAAGGUCAAGCUAUGCACGCCCUGUUAAAGACAUCCCCUGGAGAGAAUGGAUUAAUUGGAUGGAAGUUCUUCUUGAUUUCGUACCCAUUUUUGGGAUUGGCACUCAGCGUCUGCUUAACAUAUGCCAUGGUAAUGUUGCAAUUUGUCGCAACACCGAAGAGGGACCAGAAGGAGAAAGCAGGAUAAAUGUACGAGACGCAACGAUUCAACA